This 499-nucleotide ribosomal RNA is filed under the name uncultured bacterium. RNAcentral describes it as "partial 16S ribosomal RNA". It matches the Rfam family "Bacterial small subunit ribosomal RNA", at positions 30 to 523 of the family's 1533-position model. The record is from RNAcentral.
AUUGAACGCUGGCGGCAUGCCUUACACAUGCAAGUCGAACGGCAGCACGGGAGCAAUCCUGGUGGCGAGUGGCGAACGGGUGAGUAAAGUAUCGGAACGUGCCCAGUCGUGGGGGAUAACGUAGCGAAAGUUACGCUAAUACCGCAUACGAUCUUUGGAUGAAAGCGGGGGAUCGCAAGACCUCGCGCGAUUGGAGCGGCCGAUAUCAGAUUAGGUAGUUGGUGGGGUAAAGGCUCACCAAGCCGACGAUCUGUAGCUGGUCUGAGAGGACGACCAGCCACACUGGGAGUGAGACACGGCCCAGACUCCUACGGGGGGCAGCAGUGGGUAAUUUGGACAAUGGGCGCAAGCCUGAUCCAGCAAUGCCGCGUGCAGGACGAAGGCCUUCGGGUUGUAAACUGCUUUUGUACGGAACGAAAAGGUUUGGCCUAAUAAGCUGAGCUCAUGACGGUACCGUAAGAAUAAGCACCGGCUAACUACGUGCCAGCCGCCGCCGUAA